CAGUGGUGCAUAUAUUACUCCAUGUCGCCAGAUUAUAUUAUGUGAUCAUAGGGUCAAUUAAACACCCAAUGUAUGAACAAAGAUUUCGUAUUAUCUUUAUGUUUUUUAUCUAUUUUGGCGCUAAAAUAUUCAAAAACUUUGGGAAAAUAUUCAUCAAGCGAUAUUUGGAUGUGGCAUUGAGAAGAAGUCAUCAUUUUCUCAAAAUUUUGCAUUCUGAUUUUAGAAAUGUAACAUACGAUACCAUAAUUUUUUUUAUGAAAACGUAUUUGCAGAGCAAAUGUUACCCCUUUUAUGAAAAUCUCGUAGUGUACAGAGAAUGAAAAUAUAAACAUUUCUUUUGCAGAAGUCAUUGGUUGGUCUGAAAUUUGACAAACGUGUCAAGAUGUAACAUUCGUGAUGUAACAUUCGUUACCGAGAAAUUAAUUAAAAGGAAUGAUAUCACAAUUUCCCGCGUAUUUUUGCUCUCUGUCUGCAUGAUGUGGUAUACGACAUGAAUGUCUACUAUGAACAUUUGAGUUUGAAAGUCAAUACGUGUUAAACUUUGAGAAUUAGGAUUAAUUUUCUCUUACGAAAUGGCGCUUGUGAGAGCAGAAGUACAGAAUAACUACCAUGAAAAAAAAAUGCAUUAAAACAUAAGAACAACCAUGAA
Ostrea edulis (European flat oyster) is the source of this 649-nucleotide long non-coding RNA. RefSeq lists it as uncharacterized. Lineage: Eukaryota; Metazoa; Mollusca; Bivalvia; Ostreida; Ostreidae. The transcript has 2 exons. The record is from RefSeq and is a predicted model, not a curated record.